AGAUCUGAAGCAGUGGAUCUUUCUGUUCAGAUAGCAAGGCUUUACACAUGUGGUACAGAUGUAGUUGUGGUAGAUAAUGCUUUCCAUGGCUCUCUUGAUUCUGUGUUUCCACUAUCACGCAAAGUGUCUAGAGAGGAAGUAGAAUGGGUUCAUGUAGUUCCAUUUGCCUGACUUGUAUCGUGGUGUUUAUCAGUCUGAUGAUCCAGAUGCAGUUGAUAAGUACCUUACUGAUACUCAUGAACAACUCAACAAAGUUCAAAGAAAUGGCAAAAAGAUUGCAUGCUUCGUUGCAGAGCCAAUGUUGACUAUACCUGGUAUCAUCAUACCACCAAGUACUUGGCUUCAAGAAAUGUAUAAGAUGGUACGAGAAUGUGGUGGCCUGUGUAUUG
Macrobrachium nipponense is the source of this 389-nucleotide long non-coding RNA. RefSeq lists it as uncharacterized. The record is from RefSeq and is a predicted model, not a curated record. The transcript has 4 exons. Lineage: Eukaryota; Metazoa; Arthropoda; Malacostraca; Decapoda; Palaemonidae.